GACGAACGCUGGCGGCGUGCUUAACACAUGCAAGUCGAACGGAAAGGCCCUGCUUUUGUGGGGUGCUCGAGUGGCGAACGGGUGAGUAACACGUGAGUAACCUGCCCUUGACUUUGGGAUAACUUCAGGAAACAGGGGCUAAUACCGGAUAGGAUCUCCUGCUGCAUGGUGGGGGUUGGAAAGUUUCGGCGGUUGGGGGUGGACUCGCGGCUUAUGAGCUUGUUUGUGGGGUAGUGGCUUACCAAGGCUUUGACGGGUAGCCGGCCUGGGAGGGGGACCGGCCACAUUGCGACUGAGAGACGGCGCAGACGCGUACGGGAGGCAGCAGUGGGGAGUAUUGCACAGUGGGCCGAAGCCUGAUGUAGCAACGCCGCGUGCGGGAUGACGGCCUUCGGGUUGUAAACCGCUUUCGCCUGUGACGAGGAGUGCGUGACGGUAAUGGGUAAAGAAGCACCGGCUAACUACGUG
This 468-nucleotide ribosomal RNA is filed under the name uncultured bacterium. Its description in RNAcentral is "partial 16S ribosomal RNA". It matches the Rfam family "Bacterial small subunit ribosomal RNA", at positions 28 to 507 of the family's 1533-position model. The record is from RNAcentral.